AGGUUCCCCUGCAGCCCCUGGGGCAGUCCAUGGUGAGGCAGCUGUGCCCCUGCAGCCCUUGGAGGGCCAUGGGGAUUCAAAGAUCCACCUGUGGCCUGUGGAGGAUCCCCAUGCCACAGCAGAUGAUGCCCAACAGAGCCUGUGACCCCAUGGAAAAUCCAUGCUGGAGCAGGCUCCUGGCAGCACCUAUGGAAAGAGGAGUCCGUGCUGGAGUAAGUUUGUUGGGCAGGACUUGUGACCCUGCAGUGGACCCACACUGGAACAGGCUGUGCCUGGAGGACUGCACCCAGUGGAAGGGACACAGACUGGAGCAGUUUGUGAAUUACUGCAGCCCACAGAAAGGACUCAUAUUGAAGAAGUUCACAGACUGUUUCCCAGUGGAGAAACAUCACACUGCAGGAGGUGAAGGGUGUGAGGAGUUCUUCUUCAGAGGAGAAGGGAAAGGUAGAGACAAUGUGUGAUGAAUUGACCACAAUCCCCAGUCCCUGAAAAGUCAGGAGUAAAGUUGAGCUUGGGAAGAAGGGACAGGUGAGGAGAAUAUGUUUUAAGACUUGGUUUUAUUCCUCAUUACCCUGCUCUGAUGUGACUGGUAAUAAAUUAAUUUCCCCAAGUCAAAUCUGGUUUUGCCCAGGCAGUAACAGCUGAGUGAUCUCUUCCUACUCUUAUCUCAAUCUGUGAGGCUCUUCUAUUUUUUUUCCCUUUGUUCAACUGAGAAAGGGGAAUGAUAAGAGUGACUUGGGUGGGCACAUGGAAUCCAGCCAGGGUCUACCCACCACAGACACUCAUUUAUGCGAUCUUGUGGUUGUGGCCUUGCAGUCAGUAGCAAAAUAGCAGGUUAAAUAUUGCUGCAUUUCCAUUAGUUCCAGGGGAUUACACCUUCUUAUUUCUUGCAUCUUGAGACCUUUUAAGUGAUAAUAAUGCUGACUUCUUGCUACAAAUUUCUCAUGAGUUAUUGUAUGAGGGAAUUGUGUUUUUAUUUUAAUUUCAUGCUCAUACGCACAUUCUCAUAACUAGUAGAGCAUGUGUUUGUCCAAAUCAUCUGUCCAAUAUUCAAGGAUUAACAGGCAUGUACUGAGGUGGCCUGGCCAGGAUUUCCUGUGAUGCCUUGGAGGGUAGUGAGCAUACUGAGUCAUUACCAUGGCUCUCAUCUUUUUCCUGUGUUGGCAGCCAUGAUAGUUUUUGAUAUCUUUUUUUAUAUCCCUUAGGAGUUGACCUCAAUUAUAUUUUUUAUUCUGUCAAUUGUUUUAUUCUCUCAGAACCCUCUCAAACUUCAUGCAUCAUUUUGAUUAGCUUUGUUUUCUCUCUGUACCUUUGUGUACCCUUUGUCUCUCUUUAUACCUUUGCUCAUCCUGUUCAGGGUGUGGGCUGUCAUAUACUUUCUUCUCCUUAAUUUUCUUCUCUUUAAUACACUGCAUUUACCAGAACAGAGAUCUUCUUAGUUUUAUUAUCUAGGUGCCAUAAACAUUGGGUUUUGUACAUCUCUCUUUUGCUGUUUCAGUAUUGUUUCUGUUGCAAUUCUGGCUGGGGAGACAUGACAGCAUGAGGACUUGAGAUUCAACAAGGCCAAGUGACAUGUCCUGCAGUCUGGCUACAACAAUGCCAUGCAGCACUACAGGCUGGGACAAGAGUGACUGUAAAGAGGCCUGGUGGAAAAGGACCUGAGGGUGCUGGUUGAGAGCAGCUAAACGUGGCCCAGUGGCCAGGAAAACCAAUGGCAUCCUGGCCUGGCCAGCAACAGUGGGCUGGGAUUGUUCCUCUGUACAUGGCACUGGUGACAACACAAAUCCCGUGUCCAGUUCCAGGCCCCUCACUGCAUAAAAGACAUUGAGAGGUUGGAGCAAGUCCAGAGAAAGACAACAGAGCGGGUGAAUUGUCUAGAGGGACUUUGAAGUUGCACUGUAUGUUUCCACUGAGGUUUCAAAACUGUACUGCAGGCAAUAGAGUCCAUCACUGUCUGAAGCCAAAGUCUUGUUCCUUUCAUUAGAGAAGGACCAGCAGUAGAAGGUGGCCAUUUAAGCAGUUUUAAUGCAAUAUUGCACAAAGCAGGAAAACUAUACCCAGAAAAACAUCCAGGAUGAUUGCUGAUUUUCUAAAAACACCAGGAUUUGCAGGUUCAUUGGUUCCCUGCAAAGAAUUUAGUGAUUGGAAAUCUAGGCUAAAUGGACACAAAAAGGACCCUUUUCUCUGACCCAUUGAUUUUUUCAUGUUUUUACAUGUCAUGGAAAUCAGGAGAUUUAUGAAAAGGGCCUCACAUUUGUUAACCUUUUGUUACAGAUAUCCAUUUAUCAUAGCAUCCAGAAGAUUUUACUUUGUUGUUGAAAAAUAGGUGAUGCAUUCUAAAAACAGCUGAAACAGAAAAAUAAUUUCUGAAGUGAGUUGAACCUGUUUAAUGUGUGAAUACAUGUAAUAUGAUCUCUUGUAACAUACACCUUUGACCAAAUACUAUUAAUAAUGAUAUGCAGGAUAAUAUGGCAUUAUGGAAAAUCACCUCUUCAUUGGAAGAUGAAAACAAACCAAAAACCUAAAUAAUAAUAGUCUUCACAGUGGUGUCUAAUUUUUCGUCAAUCAAGUCUUUAAUGAAUUUAAGAUAUGAGUAUAGUCACAGCAGUUCCAACCCCCACAUUGUAAAUCCACAUGUAAAGAAUACAAUUUAACAAUCCUUUAAUGCUAUUUUGAACAAGCUGCAAAUACAAUUUUAGAACUAUUCGAUUUUUCAAAUAACCUGGUAGGAACUGCAGUUUGUAUAACUCAUUUUGUGAUGGUAUUAUGUUUGUAUUGUCCUCUUAAUCUGCAUAGGUAUAAUUAGAAGUUUGGCUUGAUUAAGAAAAACCAUUUACUCAAAUAAAUACCAAGCCUUUGAGGUUUUCUUUAAAAAAAUUCUUAGUAAUUCUAGAUUAUUUUAAAGGGUAGACAAAUGUCAUGAAAAUGUAUUUUAAAAGCAUUUCAUAGAAACAAUAGAGUUGUACAUAAGUGUUCAUAUCUGUUCUUUCAUAAUUCUGAGAACUUAUUUUAAUGUGUAUAGUGAUGCAUCAUAGAGACACGAUUUAGCAAUUGAUACUUGACUGGGAAACACUUUGCAUAUUUUUGGUACCAUAGAAACCACCUAUUAAAAACUACCUAUAAACAUUAAUAAGGGUUUUAAAUGAAAAAAUUUUAACUGUGGUAAUUUUUAGCACAUUCCCACCCAGAUACAGUUGGAAUUAUAGUAACAAAGUUGAAAAUGUUAUGGAGUUAUUGUCAUGGAUAAGUUCAUUGCCAUGACUAACAACAUCAGUGGGAAAAAAAAUGCAAGACCUACUUAGAUUAUGUACAUACACAAAACAGUAAAAUGAGGAGAAAGUUGGAGAGACCAAGUGUUAAAUUGUAAUGCUAAGGAUGAACAACAUCAAACUUGCCCUGGAGUUGUUGAAAAAGAUGCCUUGCUGUUUCUCAUUUACCAAAUUGGUUUCUAAAAUGUACAUAAAUUAAAAUAUUUCAUAGAACUCUCUUUUUUAUUACUCUUCAUUAUCCUAUAAGAAUGGAAAGGAAUUAUAGUUAACAGUUUAAAAAUAUUGUGCAAUUCAGAAUGAAAUCUUGCAUCUACAUGUAAAAAGAAAGAGGCUUGUAUAUUAUACUUCCUUUUUGAAAAUUUUUUUCCUAUAUAGAUAUAUGUAGGCAAAACAUUAAAAGCUAUUUAGCCUACUGCUAACUCACUCCUUUUCAAUAUUAACCAUAUCCCUUAAACUAAAUGGCUAAGCCAGAUAAAUAACCACAAACAUGAAAGAACUUACACAAGUUUUGCAACUCCUACUAUUUACUGAAUAAAUGGCAUAUUUAAAAUUUUAAGAUUAUCUUUAAAAUUGACAAUUAACAAUUAAAAACAAAAAUUCUAUGCUGGACAACUACUAGAGGUUUUCAUUUAUAGUAAAUUGUUUUAUUGUGUGACAUGGGAAACACAGGAAUUGUGACUAAUGGGAGAGCAGAAUUAAGAAUUAUGCAGCAUCUUUCAAGCAAGGUACAAUCUCACACCAGCCCUGGUGAGAAUUAGGUGUUUAUUACAGGUCUACUGGGUUCUUUCCAAAGACAAGGAAAGGUCUUGUUCCCCUAAGUCAUUCCUUUAUUGACGUAGAACCUUGAAUUGAACUGAACUGAACUGUAUUGAAUUUAGAACUGCAUUGAACUUAGAAUUACAUAUGAAAAAGAAAGAGUCUGGAGAGCAGUGGAAUGGGUUUGAAGCUUUUGAACUCCAGAACAUUUUUGAAAGGGCACAUCUUACAGUCAUUAAGCUGUAAUACAGGAACAAAAUACUAUAUAAUUCUGUACUACUUGAUUGUAUUUUAAUAGCUAUGUAUGUUCACAUAUGUAGUAGUAUAAGAUACCAAUAGGUCAGAGAGAUCUUAAUAUGUUGAAUUUUAAGAAACUUUUUACUUUCCAUAUAUUUCUUUAUAUUUGUUGAUUUGAGGAAAUCCUGUUGCUUUUACUUUAAAUCUGAAAAAUAUGCAGACACUGAGCUGAUAAUUCCUAUGGAAUGAAUGUGAAAAAUACUUUAUUUCUGUUUACAUAGAAUGUAAACAAAUAAAUAAACCAACCCACCUC
This is a long non-coding RNA of Taeniopygia guttata (zebra finch), 4575 nucleotides long. RefSeq lists it as uncharacterized. NCBI's taxonomy places the organism in Eukaryota, Metazoa, Chordata, Aves, Passeriformes, Estrildidae. The record is from RefSeq and is a predicted model, not a curated record.